AGGACGAACGCUGGCGGCGUGCUUAACACAUGCAAGUCGAGCGGUAAGGCCUUUCGGGGUACACGAGCGGCGAACGGGUGAGUAACACGUGGGUGAUCUGCCCUGCACUCUGGGAUAAGCCUGGGAAACUGGGUCUAAUACCGGAUAUGACCUGCUCUCGCAUGGGGGUGGUGGAAAGAUUUAGUCGGUGCAGGAUGGGCCCGCGGCCUAUCAGCUUGGUUGGUGGGUAAUGGCCUACCAAGGCGACGACGGGUA
Molecule: ribosomal RNA, 255 nt
Filed under: uncultured soil bacterium
Lineage: Bacteria
Description: partial 16S ribosomal RNA
Rfam family: Bacterial small subunit ribosomal RNA
Source: RNAcentral